Long non-coding RNA from Mytilus californianus (California mussel), 910 nucleotides. RefSeq lists it as uncharacterized. The record is from RefSeq and is a predicted model, not a curated record. NCBI's taxonomy places the organism in Eukaryota, Metazoa, Mollusca, Bivalvia, Mytilida, Mytilidae. The transcript has 4 exons.
GUAAGAACGGGAGAUAAUCAUAUAUUAGAGGAAUAUAGAGAAAGUUGUUCAGGACAUGGAUGGAUGGUUAGAAGGGGAGAUAAUCACAUAUAAAGGGACUACAGAGAAAGCUGCUCAGGACAUGGUUGGCAGGUAAGAAGGGGAGAUUAUCACAUAUAAAGGGAAAACUCAGAAAGAUGUUCCAGGACAUGGAUGGCAGGUAAGAAAGGGAGAUAAUCACAUAUAAACUAAAGGGAAUACUGAGAAAGCUGUUCAGGGCAUGGAUGGAAGGCAAGAAGGGUGAUAAUCAAAUAUAAAGUGAAUGCUGAGAAAGUUGUUCAGGGCAUGGAUGGAAGGCAAGAAGGGUGAUAAUCAAGUAUAAAGGGAAUACUGAGAAAGCUGUUCAGGACAUGGAUGGAAGGUAAGAAGGGGAGAUAAUCACAUACAUGUAUUGAAGGUAAGAAGGGAGAUAAUCAAAUAUAAAGGGAAUACUGAGAAAGUUGUUCAGGACAUGGAUGGAAGGUAAGAAGGGAGAUAAUCAAAUAUAAAGGGAAUACUGAGAAAGUUGUUCAGGACAUGGAUGGAAGGUAAGAAGGAAGAUAAUCACAAAUAAAGAGAAAGAGAUAAUCACAUAUGAAGUUGGGAAGUAAGAUUGGAUACAGAGAAAGCUGUUCAUGUUAUAAAUGAAAGGUUUAUAGUAGAGAUUAUCACAUGCUUUACUUUACAAUCCCCUAGUUAGGAAUUAAUGAGUAUCACCAGUACUACAAAGCAAACUGUUACAGUUUAUCAUUGUAUUUAGAUUGAGUUCAAGAUUUCAUUGUAAAUUAUUGGAAAUCAAUAUAAGGUACAAAUCAGAAAAACCUCUAAAGUAAACCUGUUCCAUAAAUGUAUGUAACAUCUGUGAUCCUCCAUUGGUAGAAAUUCUUCAGUA